UAGGUAACCUAAAGGUUAGAGAGGGAGAUAGGUAACCUAGAGGUUAGAGAGGUAACCUAGAGGUUAGAGUGGGAGAUUGGUAACCUAGAGGUUAGAGUGGGAGAUAGGUAACCUAGAGGUUAGAGUGGGAGAUAGGUAACCUAGAGGUUAGAGUGGGAGAUAGGUAACCUAGAGGUUAGAGAGGGAAAUAUGUAACCUAGAGGUUAGAGAGGGAAAUAGGUAACCUAGAGGUUAGAGAGGGAAAUAUAUAACCUAGAGGUUAGAGUGGGAAAUAUAUAACCUAGAGGUUAGAGAGGGAAAUAUGUAACCUAGAGGCUAGAGAGGGAAAUAGGUAACCUAGAGGUUAGAGAGGGAAAUAGGUAACCUAGAGGUUAGAGAGGUAACCUAGAGGUUAUAGAGGGAAAUAUGUAACCUAGAGGUUAGAGAGGUAACCUAGAGGUUAUAGAGGGAAAUAUAUAACCUAGAGAUUAGAGAGGUAACCUAGAGGUUAGAGUGGGAGAUAGGUAACCUAGAGGUUAGAGAGGUAACCUAGAGGUUAGAGUGGGAGAUAGGUAACCUAGAGGUUAGAGAGGUAACCUAGAGGUUAGAGAGGGAGAUAUAUAACCUAGAGGUUAGAGAGGGAGAUAGGUAGUAACCUAGAGGUUAGAGUGGUAACCUAGAGGUUAGAGAGGUAAACUAGAGGUUAGAGUGGGAGAUAGGUAACCUAGAGGUUAGAGAGGUAACCUAGAGGUUAGAGUAGGAGAUAGGUAACCUAGAGGUUAGAGAGGUAACCUAGAGGUUAGAGUAGGAGAGAGGUAACCUAGAGGUUAGAGUAGGAGAUAGGUAACCUAGAGGUUAAGAGAGGGAAAUAGGUAACCUAGAGGUUAGAGAGGUAACCUAGAGGUUAGAGUGGGAGAUAGGUAACCUAGAGGUUAGAGAGGGAGAUAGGUAACCUAGAGGUUAGAGAGGGAGAUAGGUAACCUAAAGGUUAGAGAGGGAGAUAGGUAACCUAGAGGUUAGAGAGGUAACCUAGAGGUUAGAGUGGGAGAUUGGUAACCUAGAGGUUAGAGUGGGAGAUAGGUAACCUAGAGGUUAGAGUGGGAGAUAGGUAACCUAGAGGUUAGAGAGGGAAAUAUGUAACCUAGAGGUUAGAGAGGGAAAUAGGUAACCUAGAGGUUAGAGAGGGAGAUAUAUAACCUAGAGGUUAGAGUGGGAAAUAUAUAACCUAGAGGUUAGAGAGGGAAAUAUGUAACCUAGAGGUUAGAGAGGGAAAUAUGUAACCUAGAGGCUAGAGAGGUAACCUAGAGGUUAGAGAGGGAAAUAUAUAACCUAGAGGUUAGAGAGGGAAAUAUGUAACCUAGAGGCUAGAGAGGGAAAUAGGUAACCUAGAGGUUAGAGAGGGAAAUAGGUAACCUAGAGGUUAGAGAGGUAACCUAGAGGUUAUAGAGGGAAAUAUAUAACCUAGAGAUUAGAGAGGUAACCUAGAGGUUAGAGAGGGAGAUAUAUAACCUAGAGGUUAGAGAGGUAACCUAGAGGUUAGAGAGGUAACCUAGAGGUUAGAGAGGGAGAUAUAUAACCUAGAGGUUAGAGAGGGAGAUAGGUAACCUAGAGGUUAGAGUGGUAACCUAGAGGUUAGAGAGGUAAACUAGAGGUUAGAGUGGGAGAUAGGUAACCUAGAGGUUAGAGGGGGAGAUAGGUAACCUAGAGGUUAGAGAGGUAACCUAGAAGUUAGAGUAGGAGAUAGGUAACCUAGAGGUUAGAGAGGGAGAUAGGUAACCUAGAGGUUAGAGAGGGAGAUAGGUAACCUAGAGGUUAGAGUGGUAACCUAGAGGUUAGAGAGGGAGAUAUAUAACCUAGAGGUUAGAGAGGGAGAUAGGUAACCUAGAGGUUAGAGUGGUAACCUAGAGGUUAGAGAGGUAAACUAGAGGUUAGAGUGGGAGAUAGGUAACCUAGAGGUUAGAGAGGGAGAUAGGUAACCUAGAGGUUAGAGAGGUAACCUAGAGGUUAGAGUAGGAGAUAGGUAACCUAGAGGUUAGAGAGGGAGAUAGGUAACCUAGAGGUUAGAGAAGGAGAUAGGUAACCUAAAGGUUAGAGAGGGAGAUAGGUAACCUAGAGGUUAGAGAGGUAACCUAGAGGUUAGAGUGGGAGAUAGGUAACCUAGAGGUUAGAGUGGGAGAUAGGUAACCUAGAGGUUAGAGAGGGAAAUAGGUAACCUAGAGGUUAGAGAGGGAAAUAUGUAACCUAGAGGCUAGAGAGGGAAAUAGGUAACCUAGAGGUUAGAGAGGUAACCUAGAGGUUAUAGAGGGAGAUAUAUAACCUAGAGGUUAGAGAGGGAAAUAUAUAACCUAGAGGCUAGAGAGGGAAAUAGGUAACCUAGAGGCUAGAGAGGUAACCUAGAGGUUAUAGAGGGAGAUAUAUAACCUAGAGGUUAGAGAGGGAAAUAUAUAACCUAGAGAUUAGAGAGGUAACCUAGAGGUUAUAGAGGGAGAUAUAUAACCUAGAGGUUAGAGGGAAAUAUAUAACCUAGAGGCUAGAGAGGGAAAUAGGUAACCUAGAGGUUAGAGCGGUAACCUAGAGGUUAGAGUAGGAGAUAGGUAACCUAGAGGUUAGAGAGGGAGAUAGGUAACCUAGAGGUUAGAGAGGUAACCUAGGGGUUAGAGAGGGAGAUAGGUAACCUAGAGGUUAGAGAGGGAGAUAGGUAACCUAGAGGUUAGAGAGGGAGAUAGGUAACCUAGAGGUUAGAGAGGUAACCUAGAGGUUAGAGUGGGAGAUAGGUAACCUAGAGUUUAGAGAGGGAGAUAGGUAACCUAGAGGUUAGAGAGGGAGAUAGGUAACCUAGAGGUUAGAGAGGUAACCUAGAGAUUAGAGUUUGAGAUAGGUAACCUAGAGGUUAGAGAGGGAGAUAGGUAACCUAGGGGUUAGAGAGGUAACCUAGAGGUUAGAGUGGGAGAUAGGUAACCUAGAGGUUAGAGAGGGAAAUAUGUAACCUAGAGUUUAGAGAGGGAAAUAGGUAACCUAGAGGUUAGAGAGGGAGAUAUAUAACCUAGAGGUUAGAGUGGGAAAUAUAUAACCUAGAGGUUAGAGAGGGAAAUAUGUAACCUAGAGGUUAGAGAGGGAAAUAUGUAACCUAGAGGUUAGAGAGGUAACCUAGAGGUUAGAGUGGGAGAUAGGUAACCUAGAGGUUAGAGAGGUAACCUAGAGGUUAGAGUGGGAGAUAGGUAACCUAGAGGUUAGAGAGGUAACCUAGAGGUUAGAGAGGGAGAUAUAUAACCUAGAGGUUAGAGAGGGAGAUAGGUAGUAACCUAGAGGUUAGAGUGGUAACCUAGAGGUUAGAGAGGUAAACUAGAGGUUAGAGUGGGAGAUAGGUAACCUAGAGGUUAGAGAGGUAACCUAGAGGUUAGAGUAGGAGAUAGGUAACCUAGAGGUUAGAGAGGUAACCUAGAGGUUAGAGUAGGAGAUAGGUAACCUAGAGGUUAAGAGAG
Molecule: long non-coding RNA, 3461 nt
Organism: Oncorhynchus keta (chum salmon)
Lineage: Eukaryota; Metazoa; Chordata; Actinopteri; Salmoniformes; Salmonidae
Exons: 4
Source: RefSeq, a predicted model, not a curated record